Molecule: ribosomal RNA, 435 nt
Filed under: uncultured bacterium
Lineage: Bacteria
Description: partial 16S ribosomal RNA
Rfam family: Bacterial small subunit ribosomal RNA
Source: RNAcentral
AACGAACGCUGGCGGCAUGCCUAACACAUGCCAGUCGAACGAUUGCCUUCGGGUGAUAGUGGCGCACGGGUGCGUAACGCGUGGGAAUCUGCCCUUAGGUUCGGAAUAACAGCUGGAAGCGGCUGCUAAUACCGGAUGAUAUCGCGAGAUCAAAGAUUUAUCGCCUGAGGAUGAGCCCGCGUUGGAUUAGGUAGUUGGUGGGGUAAAGGCCUACCAAGCCGACGAUCCAUAGCUGGUCUGAGAGGAUGAUCAGCCACACUGGGACUGAGACACGGCCCAGACUCCUACGGGAGGCAGCAGUGGGGAAUAUUGGACAAUGGGCGCAAGCCUGAUCCAGCAAUGCCGCGUGAGUGAUGAAGGCCCUAGGGUUGUAAAGCUCUUUUACCCGGGAAGAUAAUGACUGUACCGGGAGAAUAAGCCCCGGCUAACUCCGUG